UAGAAUUUUUGGCAAUUUAAGAUAUUGCUAAUGAAGCAAUUAUAGACAAAACUGUCAGAAAUAAUGUAAUAACUCUUUAAAAUGCUGCAAUGCCUCUUGUAGCAACAUCCAAGUUUCACAGAAGGAAGAAAAUACAAACCACCUGAUUAAAUCUGAGCAAAAGGAGGAACACAGAAAAUUGAAAGACUUGCAUAAAGAUUUUUAGCCCUAAAAUACAGAAGUAGUUAUGACAAUGUAUCUUUUAUUAACUUCUCUUGUAUAAAAUAAAUUAAUGCUUUACUAGAAGUUCCAAUCCUGUUACAUCUGGAUGCUUCUCUAUCAUCAGUGUUGGGGCUGCUGAUGCCUUACAGUGGCCCUGACUGAUCUUCUGGUCUUGAGGGGACACCCCAAAACACAGUUUCUUUUCUGUCCCCACAUUUGGGCAGGUGUUAAUUUGUCGUCUUAACUGUAGUUGCAAGAAACAAAGGAGACAAAGCAGGAUGAGAAGCCACACUGCCCUAAGGACAUUUGCCUCUGGAAGAUAGUUGAUGAAGAUGCGCUGUAAAAAAAAAAGACCUGAUUACUAACCAUUUCCACUGGAUUCUGCCUUGGGACAGAAUCUCUCAAGAGGGUAUGUGUCCCUACGACUAGAGCUGUUUUCCUUCUGUGCUAGGGAAAAUCUAAAGAAAAUAUCCGCAAGAUACCUUCUGCUGGUAGCAAGACCAUAAUGCUAAGGUGAUGGGCAGCUAGUUGGGGGGGGCUCCAACCCUGGGAGCUUCUCUCAGCUGGAAGGCUGGUUCCAAGGGAGACAGGACUGUAUUUGCUUUUCCUCCCCUCGUGCUCUACAAGGAAAAAGAAACUGUGAACUGCAGCUUGCA
This 857-nucleotide long non-coding RNA is filed under the name Dromaius novaehollandiae (emu). RNAcentral describes it as "lncRNA (ENSDNVG00000006735.1)". The record is from RNAcentral. Lineage: Eukaryota; Metazoa; Chordata; Aves; Casuariiformes; Dromaiidae.